GUGGCUGUAGCUCAGUUGGUUAGAGCGCCAGAUUGUGGAUCUGGAGGUCGCGGGUUCAAGCCCCGUCAGUCACC
This 74-nucleotide transfer RNA is filed under the name Gemmata palustris. RNAcentral's name for it is "Gemmata sp. G18 tRNA-His". It matches the Rfam family "tRNA". Rfam says of the family: Transfer RNA (tRNA) molecules are approximately 80 nucleotides in length. Lineage: Bacteria; Pseudomonadati; Planctomycetota; Planctomycetia; Gemmatales; Gemmataceae. The record is from RNAcentral.